This 687-nucleotide small RNA is filed under the name Pan troglodytes (chimpanzee). RNAcentral describes it as "processed transcript". The stretch from base 189 to 303 matches the Rfam family "ST7 overlapping transcript 3 conserved region 3". Lineage: Eukaryota; Metazoa; Chordata; Mammalia; Primates; Hominidae. The record is from RNAcentral.
AUAUAAGCUUACCAAAGUCAGCAACAAUAUGCUACACAGCUGCUUUGCUCAAAGCAAGAGCUGUCUCUGACAAAUUCUCUCCUGAGGCUGCAUCUCGGCGGGGGCUGAGCACAGCAGAGAUGAAUGCAGUAGAGGCCAUUCAUAGAGCUGUGGAAUUCAAUCCUCAUGUGCCAAAAUAUCUACAUGCUGUAUUACGUAAUUAUCAUCUUCUCUGAGGGAGGAAAAAAAGUAGCUGAGAGCCACUUUCAGUCCCGCUAUUAAGUACAUUUUGACCUCUAAGAAACUUCGUGUGGUUCACCUCAGUACCUACUAGAAAUGAAAAGCUUAAUCCUACCCCCAGAACAUAUCCUGAAGAGAGGAGACAGUGAAGCAAUAGCAUAUGCAUUCUUUCAUCUUGCACACUGGAAGAGAGUGGAAGGGGCUUUGAAUCUUUUGCAUUGUACGUGGGAAGGCACUUUUCGGAUGAUCCCUUAUCCCUUGGAAAAGGGGCACCUAUUUUAUCCUUACCCAAUCUGUACAGAAACAGCAGACCGAGAGCUUCUUCCAUCUUUCCAUGAAGUCUCAGUUUACCCAAAGAAGGAGCUUCCCUUCUUCAUUCUCUUUACUGCUGGAUUAUGUUCCUUCACAGCCAUGCUGGCCCUCCUGACACAUCAGUUCCCGGAACUUAUGGGGGUCUUCGCAAAAGCU